Molecule: ribosomal RNA, 492 nt
Filed under: uncultured bacterium
Lineage: Bacteria
Description: partial 16S ribosomal RNA
Rfam family: Bacterial small subunit ribosomal RNA
Source: RNAcentral
AGUGAACGCUGGCGGUAGGCCUAACACAUGCAAGUCGAACGGCAGCACAGUAAGAGCUUGCUCUUACGGGAGGCGAGUGGCGGACGGGUGAGUAAUACAUCGGAAUCCACUUUUUCGUGGGGGAUAACGUAGGGAAACUUACGCUAAUACCGCAUACGACCUACGGGUGAAAGCAGGGGAUCUUUUGACCUUUCGCGAUUGAAUUAGCCGAUGUCGGAUUAGCUAGUUAGCGGGGUAAAGGCGCACCAAGGCGACGAUCCGUAGCUGGUCUGAGAGGAUGAUUAGGCACACUGGAAGUGAGACACGGCAGAGACUCCUACAGUAGGCAGCAGUGCAGAAUAUUGGGCAAUGGGGGAAAGCCUGAUACAGCAAUACCGCGUGGAGGAAGAAGGCCUUCGGGUUGGAAAGUCAUUAUGUUGGGAGAGAAAAGCAGCAGGUUAGUACGGCGCGGUUCUGACGGUACCGAAAGAAUAAGCACCGGCUAACUUCGUG